RNAcentral lists this ribosomal RNA (253 nucleotides) under uncultured bacterium. RNAcentral's name for it is "partial 16S ribosomal RNA". It matches the Rfam family "Bacterial small subunit ribosomal RNA", at positions 524 to 776 of the family's 1533-position model. The record is from RNAcentral.
UACGUAGGGGGCGAGCGUUGUCCGAAGUUACUGGGCGUAAAGCGCGCGCAGGCGGUUCUCCAAGUCAGUGGUGAAAGCCCGGAGCUCAACUCCGGAAAUGCCAUUGAAACUGUUGAACUUGAGGACGAGAGAGGUGAGUGGAAUUCCCAGUGUAGAGGUGAAAUUCGUAGAUAUUGGGAAGAACACCGGUGGCGAAGGCGGCUCACUGGCUCGUAUCUGACGCUCAGGCGCGAUAGCGUGGGGAUCAAACAGG